Molecule: non-coding RNA, 1563 nt
Organism: Thamnophis sirtalis
Lineage: Eukaryota; Metazoa; Chordata; Lepidosauria; Squamata; Natricidae
Source: RefSeq, a predicted model, not a curated record
GAAGAGGAUGAGGAAGAGGAGGAAGACGAAUUAGACGACGAAGAAGACUUGGAUGGCGAAGACGAGGAGAACGGGGGAGAUGACGAGGAUGAAGAUGAUGAUGAUGACGUAGAUGAAGACGAGGACGAGGAUGAAGAAGCCGAGGUCCAGCAGGGCGAGAAGCGGAAACGAGACCCCGAGGAAGACCCGGACGACGACGAGGAUGAAGAAAACGACGACUGAGGAGUCCCUGCCGCCGCCUCUUCCUCCUCCUCCUCCUCGGCUCCUUUGCAGGCCGAUCCGUGUUUUUUUUUUGGCGGACUGUGUGACUUUCCCGGCCUCUCACCGUUCCCCUCCCCCCCACACCUUUGUGAGAACUGUGACGAAUCCCCUUCCCCCUCUCCUGCCGCCCCUCCCCUCCUCCGCUCUUUUGUACGGCUGCAAACACCCACAAUAUAUAUUUUUUUAAAAGAUGUAGAAAAGGAUAGGUGUUUCAGGAGAAGUUGGAAUUUUCGUUUUGUUUUGGGGGGUUAGCUUUCUCUUGCCUCUCUUGCCAACGCCCCCCCUCCCCAUGUGCUAUGACACCCCCGCCCACCCCCAGAUAUGAGGUAUUUGCGACCAAAGGCUUAGCGAUGCAAGGGCAGAUUUACUCAAAUCUGCAAGCAAUUUGGCUUUCCCCACCGCCCUGAACCCGGAUGCGUUUGGACACUCCUGGCGAUUUCUGGCUGGGGUGGGUGGGGGUGGAGUCAAGUCUGCUAUGGCCCCUCCCACUCUGCCCCGGAGUCUGAAGAUGCACCCUUCUGGAAACAAGGCCGAGCGAGGUGCAUGGUGCAGCUGUGGCCCUCGGCGUGAGUUCCGGAUGUGGGACCGUCCUCUCUCUGUGGCUCUGCGGCGGUGUUGCCGAAGUGUUUUACGCGUGGAUUGUGGGUCGCUUGCCGUGAUGUUUUGUUUUUAAUUCGGUUGUCUGCUUCUGCGAUUUAUUCCUUGCUGAUCUGUGCCCCACUCACCCGCCCGCCGCCACCACGAGCCCAGAGGGAGGAGUUCAGCUGUGCCCCCCCUCCGCCCCCAAAUAGGCAUGCUCCAGACAAGUGUGGGGCACGAGUCCACCCAUGGCCAGCCCCACAACAGGAAGCUGGCAAAGGUGGGGAGGGGGGAGCCUUUGCAUCAACAGUCUAGCAAAAUGCAACACAAAGUUGCAAAAAAAAAAUGCAUACUUUAAAAAAAAGAAUUCUGCAGUUUGUAAAGCCCUGCUUUUUAAAAAAAAAAAUUGUAAUUUUAGUUUUUGUGGCUAGGAAAAAACACUUUGGGCACAAACUUCCCACGUUCAGAGCUGCGGUUCGACGCUCCCUCACUUCCCCCCCCACCUUCCUGGCCGAUGAUGGUUGGGAUUUUUUAGCCCCUAGUUUUAAAAAAAAAAUUUCAGCACAGAUUUGGUAAAAAAAAAAAGAAACCUAACCCAUUAAUCAUAUCUCCCACCCAACCCACCCACCCCUUUGGAAUUUUGGGCCCUCUUUUAUAUAUCUCCUUUUUGUUAAUGGAAUUUGGAUAAGACUUUUAAUAAAAGACUUGGUUUUUAAAAAGGAA